GACGAACGCUGGCGGCGUGCCUAAUACAUGCAAGUAGAACGCUGAAGAGAGGAGCUUGCUCUUCUUGGAUGAGUUGCGAACGGGUGAGUAACGCGUAGGUAACCUGCCUUGUAGCGGGGGAUAACUAUUGGAAACGAUAGCUAAUACCGCAUAACAAUGGAUGACACAUGUCAUUUAUUUGAAAGGGGCAAUUGCUCCACUACAAGAUGGACCUGCGUUGUAUUAGCUAGUAGGUGAGGUAAUGGCUCACCUAGGCGACGAUACAUAGCCGACCUGAGAGGGUGAUCGGCCAAACUGGGACUGAGACACGGCCCAGACUCCUACGGGAGGCAGCAGUAGGGAAUCUUCGGCAAUGGGGGCAACCCUGACCGAGCAACGCCGCGUGAGUGAAGAAGGUUUUCGGAUCGUAAAGCUCUGUUGUAAGUCAAGAACGGGUGUGAGAGUGGAAAGUUCACACUGUGACGGUAGCUUACCAGAAAGAGACGGCUAACUACGUG
Molecule: ribosomal RNA, 497 nt
Filed under: uncultured bacterium
Lineage: Bacteria
Description: partial 16S ribosomal RNA
Rfam family: Bacterial small subunit ribosomal RNA
Source: RNAcentral